GUCCAUGUAGCUUAGGCCAAAGCAUAGCACUGAAGAUGCUAAGACGACACCAACAAAAUGUCCAGGGACA
RNAcentral lists this transfer RNA (70 nucleotides) under Coeligena bonapartei bonapartei. Its description in RNAcentral is "tRNA-Phe". It matches the Rfam family "tRNA". Rfam says of the family: Transfer RNA (tRNA) molecules are approximately 80 nucleotides in length. Their secondary structure includes four short double-helical elements and three loops (D, anti-codon, and T loops). Lineage: Eukaryota; Metazoa; Chordata; Aves; Apodiformes; Trochilidae. RNAcentral also lists the same sequence under 3 other names. The record is from RNAcentral.